Long non-coding RNA from Bufo bufo (common toad), 248 nucleotides. RefSeq lists it as uncharacterized. Lineage: Eukaryota; Metazoa; Chordata; Amphibia; Anura; Bufonidae. The transcript is spliced from 3 exons. The record is from RefSeq and is a predicted model, not a curated record.
GGGGUGGCUAUCCAUGGCAAAUUGUUGGACCCUGGGAGAAGUUAUCAUCAAUCAUGGGAGGAUAAGCGUUUUUGGUGGCACUAACAGGGAUGCAGGAUUGAUAGCAUCUUUAUCCAAGGUUGUCUGUCUGAUUUGAUUCAUUACGCUUUUGUAAGUUUACCGUUGUCUGCUAUUUCCAAAUACACCUGAAUUUGUGAACACCACCUGGCUUUAGUUUAUCAGUGAGGCCAACCUAGGCCUUGUCUGUG